GAUGAAGAACGUAGUGAAAUGCGAUAAGUAAUGUGAAUUGCAGAUUUCAGUGAAUCAUCGAAUCUUUGAACGCACAUUGCGCCCGCUAGUAUUCUGGCGGGCAUGCCUGUUCGAGCGUCAUUUCAACCAUCAAGCCCCCGGCUUGCGUUGGAGCCCUGCGGCUGCCGCAGGCUCCCAAAUCCAGUGGCGGGCUCGUCGUCGUACCGAGUGCAGUAAACAUCCUCGCUCAGGGAACGUGACGGGUUCUUGCCGUGAAACCCCCCACAUAUCAAGGUUGACCUCGGAUCAGGUAGGAAUACCCGCUGAACUUAAGCAUAUCAAUAAGCGGAGGA
Molecule: unclassified non-coding RNA, 332 nt
Filed under: soil metagenome
Description: partial contains 5.8S ribosomal RNA, internal transcribed spacer 2, and large subunit ribosomal RNA
Rfam family: 5.8S ribosomal RNA (bases 1-120)
Source: RNAcentral